Molecule: ribosomal RNA, 526 nt
Filed under: uncultured bacterium
Lineage: Bacteria
Description: bacterial SSU rRNA
Rfam family: Bacterial small subunit ribosomal RNA
Source: RNAcentral
GACAUCCAGAGAACUUAGCAGAGAUGCUUUGGUGCCUUCGGGAACUCUGAGACAGGUGCUGCAUGGCUGUCGUCAGCUCGUGUUGUGAAAUGUUGGGUUAAGUCCCGNAACGAGCGCAACCCUUAUCCUUUGUUGCCAGCGGUUCGGCCGGGAACUCAAAGGAGACUGCCGGUGAUAAACCGGAGGAAGGUGGGGAUGACGUCAAGUCAUCAUGGCCCUUACGGCCAGGGCUACACACGUGCUACAAUGGCGCAUACAAAGAGAAGCGACCUCGCGAGAGCAAGCGGACCUCAUAAAGUGUGUCGUAGUCCGGAUUGGAGUCUGCAACUCGACUCCAUGAAGUCGGAAUCGCUAGUAAUCGUAGAUCAGAAUGCUACGGUGAAUACGUUCCCGGGCCUUGUACACACCGCCCGUCACACCAUGGGAGUGGGUUGCAAAAGAAGUAGGUAGCUUAACCUUCGGGAGGGCGCUUACCACUUUGUGAUUCAUGACUGGGGUGAAGUCGUAACAAGGUAAGCGUAGCGAG